Brassica oleracea var. oleracea is the source of this 1019-nucleotide long non-coding RNA. RefSeq lists it as uncharacterized. The transcript is spliced from 2 exons. NCBI's taxonomy places the organism in Eukaryota, Viridiplantae, Streptophyta, Magnoliopsida, Brassicales, Brassicaceae. The record is from RefSeq and is a predicted model, not a curated record.
UUUAGAGCGGACCGUCGACUUCUCUCUCCAUCUUAUCUCUAAUGCGAUUACAUAAAGCUAUAUUUCCUCCAGCCCGGACGGCGCAUACCAGCUACUGGAAACCCCUCUAGUUUGGUUUUCUCUCUUUAAGCUGCCGCUCCAUCUAUCAUGAUCUCCUUCGAUAUGCUCGUCAUCCUGGAAUAGAGUUUGAUUUAGGGGAAAUGCUUCGCUGUAGAGGGGCUUCGACUCUGGUGGUCCCUCAGCUUUCUCUAGAAUUAUGGCGAGGGGGUUGAGUGGUAGGUGGUGGUUGCGGUCGGCUUUUGGGGUUAAGGUUGAGAUCAAUUUUCUCUUUCAGAUCUCGUCAGGCGUUCUUAGUCAGUGAGGAGGAGAGACGGUGGGUCUUCUCAAGAUAUGCGGUGGUUCGCUGCUUCUGAUCAUUUGGCUUGGGAAGGGGUCUCUUGUUGGUUCGUUGAGCUUAGGUGGUUUUCUCCUUAGCUGUGGUGUGUGCUGGUGGGUCUCUUUACCACGGCGGCGAGUUUGUGUGCUUGAACACGCAGGUGGAUUGGAGCUCGAGCUCAGUGGCCCGCUCGCGUAGGUCAUGUUAUCGGUUUUAAAAGGUGCUCUUCUAUGCCGUUUCAGUGGCAGCUAGCAGUGCAUAAUCACCUUCGAACCUUCUCUUCGCGGUUCAUGCUCCGUGUGGUUGUGCCAUGUUUCUAUUUCCCAUCUUUGAUGAUGGCUCUAGCAGCACCAGUUUUAGUUCGUCGGUUCUCGGCGGCUACGGAUGUGUGGUGGUUCUUGAGUCUUUUACCGCCACAUUCUAAAUCGGUAUUCGCUCACGUCCCAACAUCACAUAGAUUUGCUUGAGCUUCUUGUGGUGGUGUGUGUAACAAUUGUGUGCAGUUUGGGCUCGGGGUAGGGAGUACGAAGGAUGCAGCCUUUUUUGCUCGGAGCAGCAUUUUGUGCAGGCGGGUGCUAUGAAGCCCUAGGCGAGAUGUUCUCGGCUGGGCCAUUAUCUUUAAGAGCAGAUCACUGAGGAGGCC